Molecule: ribosomal RNA, 720 nt
Filed under: Fusarium solani
Lineage: Eukaryota; Fungi; Ascomycota; Sordariomycetes; Hypocreales; Nectriaceae
Description: eukaryotic LSU rRNA
Rfam family: 5.8S ribosomal RNA (bases 153-306)
Source: RNAcentral
UGGUAUCCGACUAUCACUCAUCACCCUGUGACAUACCUAUAACGUUGCCUCGGCGGGAACAGACGGCCCCGUAACACGGGCCGCCCCCGCCAGAGGACCCCCUAACUCUGUUUCUAUAAUGUUUCUUCUGAGUAAACAAGCAAAUAAAUUAAAACUUUCAACAACGGAUCUCUUGGCUCUGGCAUCGAUGAAGAACGCAGCGAAAUGCGAUAAGUAAUGUGAAUUGCAGAAUUCAGUGAAUCAUCGAAUCUUUGAACGCACAUUGCGCCCGCCAGUAUUCUGGCGGGCAUGCCUGUUCGAGCGUCAUUACAACCCUCAGGCCCCCGGGCCUGGCGUUGGGGAUCGGCGGAAGCCCCCUGCGGGCACAACGCCGUCCCCCAAAUACAGUGGCGGUCCCGCCGCAGCUUCCAUUGCGUAGUAGCUAACACCUCGCAACUGGAGAGCGGCGCGGCCACGCCGUAAAACACCCAACUUCUGAAUGUUGACCUCGAAUCAGGUAGGAAUACCCGCUGAACUUAAGCAUAUCAAAGCGCCGAAGGAAAAUUGGGCGUUUUAUGCGAACCCCCCGUUAAAUGGAGAUUAUCUGAGGCUCUUGGACAUCAACGCCGUUAAAGGGGCGUCCUGACAAAGCCGCUUAAUAUCUUUUUCUUCGUUUUCCUCCCGCCCAAAAGUUCAGAUUACCUACAAUUUAAGGAGAAGUCAUUGUGCUUGUUUCCCUUA